GACGAACGCUGGCGGCGUGCUUAACACAUGCAAGUCGAACGCUGAAGCUUGGUGCUUGCACUGGGUGGAUGAGUGGCGAACGGGUGAGUAAUAAGUGAGUAACCUGCCCUUGACUCUGGGAUAAGCCUGGGAAACUGGGUCUAAUACUGGAUACGACAUGUCACCGCAUGGUGGUGUGUGGAAAGGGUUUUACUGGUUUUGGAUGGGCUCACGGCCUAUCAGCUUGUUGGUGGGGUAAUGGCUCACCAAGGCGACGACGGGUAGCCGGCCUGAGAGGGUGACCGGCCACACUGGGACUGAGACACGGCCCAGACUCCUACGGGAGGCAGCAGUGGGGAAUAUUGCACAAUGGGCGGAAGCCUGAUGCAGCGACGCCGCGUGAGGGAUGACGGCCUUCGGGUUGUAAACCUCUUUCAGCAAGGAAGAAGCGAAAGUGACGGUACGUGCAGAAGAAGCGCCGGCUAACUACGUG
RNAcentral lists this ribosomal RNA (472 nucleotides) under uncultured bacterium. RNAcentral's name for it is "partial 16S ribosomal RNA". It matches the Rfam family "Bacterial small subunit ribosomal RNA", at positions 28 to 507 of the family's 1533-position model. The record is from RNAcentral.